AAGUCGUAACAAGGUUUCCGUAGGUGAACCUGCGGAAGGAUCAUUACCGAAUUGUCAACACGAGUUGUUGCUGGUCCUCAAACGGGGGGCAUGUGCACGCUCUGUUUACACAUCCACUCACACCUGUGCACCCUCUGUAGUUCUGUGGCAUGGGGGACUCUGUCCUGCUGUCGUGGUUCUGCGUCUUUACACACACACUGUAACGAAGUCUCAUGGAAUGUAUGCCGCGUUUAACGCAAUACAAUACAACUUUCAGCAACGGAUCUCUUGGCUCUCGCAUCGAUGAAGAACGCAGCGAAAUGCGAUAAGUAAUGUGAAUUGCAGAAUUCAGUGAAUCAUCGAAUCUUUGAACGCACCUUGCGCCCUUUGGCUAUUCCGAAGGGCAUGCCUGUUUGAGUAUCGUGAACACCUCAACUCUCGUGGUUCGCUACGAUGAGCUUGGACUUUGGGGGUCUUGCUGGCCUGUGGUCGGCUCCUCUCAAAUGAAUCAGCUUCCCAGUGUUUGGUGGCGUCGCAGGUGUGAUAACUAUCUACGCUUGUGGUUUUCCACCAGAUAACCUUCAGUGAUGGAGGUUCGCUGGGGCUCAUAAACGUCUUUCCUCAGUGAAGACAGCUUUUUGAACGUUGAUCUC
This 632-nucleotide ribosomal RNA is filed under the name uncultured Tomentella. RNAcentral's name for it is "eukaryotic LSU rRNA". The stretch from base 248 to 402 matches the Rfam family "5.8S ribosomal RNA". The record is from RNAcentral. Lineage: Eukaryota; Fungi; Basidiomycota; Agaricomycetes; Thelephorales; Thelephoraceae.